AACGAACGCUGGCGGCAUGCCUAACACAUGCAAGUCGAACGAGACCUUCGGGUCUAGUGGCGCACGGGUGCGUAACGCGUGGGAACCUGCCCUUAGGUUCGGAAUAACUCCCCGAAAGGGGUGCUAAUACCGGAUAAUGUCUUCGGACCAAAGAUUUAUCGCCUUUGGAUGGGCCCGCGUUGGAUUAGCUAGUUGGUAGGGUAAAAGCCUACCAAGGCGACGAUCCAUAGCUGGUCUGAGAGGAUGAUCAGCCACACUGGGACUGAGACACGGCCCAGACUAGAGGGGGGGGCAGAUGGGGGGUGGAGUCGGGCGGGGACGAACGCCGGAAGGGGCAAUGGCGCGUGGGUGAGGAAGGCCGUAGUGUUGUAACGCACUGUCCGUGGGAAGGAUAAGGGCCUUAGAGGGGGAAAACGCUCCGCCCCCCGCGGUGCCGGCAGUGGCGGAAAGGAUCGGGGCGCGACGUCUCAGC
This 472-nucleotide ribosomal RNA is filed under the name uncultured bacterium. RNAcentral describes it as "partial 16S ribosomal RNA". It matches the Rfam family "Bacterial small subunit ribosomal RNA", at positions 33 to 541 of the family's 1533-position model. The record is from RNAcentral.